UACAGAGGCCCCGAGCGUUACUGAGAAUCACUGGGUUUAAAGGGUGCGUAGGUGGCGCGUUAAGUCCGUUGUGAAAUCCCUGGGCUCAACCCAGGAAUUGCUUCGGAUACUGGCGUGCUUGAGGCCGGUAGGGGUCACUGGAACUGACGGUGGAGCGGUGAAAUGCGUAGAUAUCGUCAGGAACGCCGAUGGUGAAGACAGGUGACUGGGCCGGAACUGACACUGAGGCACGAAAGCGUGGGGAUCAAACAGG
Molecule: ribosomal RNA, 253 nt
Filed under: uncultured bacterium
Lineage: Bacteria
Description: partial 16S ribosomal RNA
Rfam family: Bacterial small subunit ribosomal RNA
Source: RNAcentral